UCAGAUGGAUGGUUUGGUCGUGAAAAAUAUGGAAAGCUUCAUGGCCCCUGCGCAAGGAUGACACGCAAAAUCGUGAAGCGUUCCAUAUUUUU
This is a non-coding RNA of Schistosoma mattheei, 92 nucleotides long. NCBI's taxonomy places the organism in Eukaryota, Metazoa, Platyhelminthes, Trematoda, Strigeidida, Schistosomatidae. The record is from Rfam.